Molecule: ribosomal RNA, 253 nt
Filed under: uncultured bacterium
Lineage: Bacteria
Description: partial 16S ribosomal RNA
Rfam family: Bacterial small subunit ribosomal RNA
Source: RNAcentral
UACGAAGGGGGCUAGCGUUGCUCGGAAUUACUGGGCGUAAAGGGCUCGUAGGCGGCCAACUAAGUCAGACGUGAAAUCCCUCGGCUUAACCGGGGAACUGCGUCUGAUACUGGUUGGCUUGAGUGUGGGAGAGGGAUGCGGAAUUCCAGGUGUAGCGGUGAAAUGCGUAGAUAUCUGGAGGAACACCGGUGGCGAAGGCGGCAUCCUGGACCAUUACUGACGCUGAGGAGCGAAAGCCAGGGGAGCAAACGGG